Molecule: ribosomal RNA, 501 nt
Filed under: uncultured bacterium
Lineage: Bacteria
Description: partial 16S ribosomal RNA
Rfam family: Bacterial small subunit ribosomal RNA
Source: RNAcentral
AUUGAACGCUGGCGGCAGGCUUAACACAUGCAAGUCGAGCGGAGAGAGGUAGCUUGCUACUGAUCUUAGCGGCGGACGGGUGAGUAAUGCUUAGGAAUCUGCCUAUUAGUGGGGGACAACAUUUCGAAAGGAAUGCUAAUACCGCAUACGUCCUACAGGAGAAAGCAGGGGAACUUCGGACCUUGGGCUAAUAGAUGAGCAUAAGUCGGAUUAGCUAGUUUGUGGGGUAAAGGCCUACCAAGCCGACGAUCUGUAGCGGGUCUGAGAGGAUGAUCCGCCACACUGGGACUGAGACACGGCCCAGACUCCUACGGGAGGCAGCAGUGGGGAGUAUUGGACAAUGGGCGGAAGCCUGAUCCAGCCAUGCCGCGUGUGUGAAGAAGGCCUUAUGGUUGUAAAGCACUUUAAGCGAGGAGGAGGCUACUUUAGUUAAUACCUAGAGAUAGUGGACGUUACUCGCAGAAUAAGCACCGGCUAACUCUGUGCCAGCCGCCGCCGUAA